AGUGAACGCUGGCGGUAGGCCUAACACAUGCAAGUCGAACGGAAGCACAGUAAGCGCUUGCUCUUACGGGUGGCGAGUGGCGGACGGGUGAGGAAUACAUAGGAAUCUACUUUUUCGUGGGGGAUAACGUAGGGAAACUUACGAUAAUACCGCAUACGUCCUACGGGUGAAAGCAGGGGAUCUUGGGACCUUGCGCGAUUGAAUGAGACGAUGUCGGAUUAGCUAGUUGGCGGGGUAAAGGCCCACCAAGGCGACGAUCCGUAGCUGGUCUGAGAGGAUGAUCAGCCACACUGGAACUGAGACACGGUCCAGACUCCUACGGGAGGCAGCAGUGGGGAAUAUUGGACAAUGGGCGCAAGCCUGAUCCAGCCAUGCCGCGUGGGUGAAGAAGGCCUUCGGGUUGUAAAGCCCUUUUGUUGGGAAAGAAAAGCAGCAGGUUAAUACCCCGCUGUUCUGACGGUACCCAAAGAAUAAGCACCGGCUAACUUCGUG
This 492-nucleotide ribosomal RNA is filed under the name uncultured bacterium. Its description in RNAcentral is "partial 16S ribosomal RNA". It matches the Rfam family "Bacterial small subunit ribosomal RNA", at positions 29 to 507 of the family's 1533-position model. The record is from RNAcentral.